CGGGGCGUGGCUCAGCUUGGUAGAGCGCUGCGCUUGGGACGCAGAGGUCGCAGGUUCAAAUCCUGCCGCUCCGA
RNAcentral lists this transfer RNA (74 nucleotides) under Thermosinus carboxydivorans Nor1. It matches the Rfam family "tRNA". From Rfam's summary of the family: Transfer RNA (tRNA) molecules are approximately 80 nucleotides in length. The record is from Rfam by way of RNAcentral. Lineage: Bacteria; Bacillati; Bacillota; Negativicutes; Selenomonadales; Sporomusaceae.